RNAcentral lists this transfer RNA (76 nucleotides) under Salmonella enterica. RNAcentral describes it as "tRNA-Lys". It matches the Rfam family "tRNA". From Rfam's summary of the family: Transfer RNA (tRNA) molecules are approximately 80 nucleotides in length. RNAcentral also lists the same sequence under 1 other name. The record is from RNAcentral. Lineage: Bacteria; Pseudomonadati; Pseudomonadota; Gammaproteobacteria; Enterobacterales; Enterobacteriaceae.
GGGGCGUUAGCUCAGUUGGUAGAGCAGUUGACUUUUAAUCAAUUGGUCGCAGGUUCGAAUCCUGCUCGCCCCACCA